RNAcentral lists this non-coding RNA (29 nucleotides) under Mus musculus (house mouse). The record is from RNAcentral. Lineage: Eukaryota; Metazoa; Chordata; Mammalia; Rodentia; Muridae.
UGUGAAGAGACGUAUAACAGUGCAAUACA